Long non-coding RNA from Acipenser ruthenus (sterlet), 260 nucleotides. RefSeq lists it as uncharacterized. The transcript is spliced from 3 exons. NCBI's taxonomy places the organism in Eukaryota, Metazoa, Chordata, Actinopteri, Acipenseriformes, Acipenseridae. The record is from RefSeq and is a predicted model, not a curated record.
AAUAUAUUGAAGAUUCUGAGCUUUUGGAACAGUACUUCAAGACAUCAUUCAGCGACCUAGCGUCAGACUCCGAAUUGUCUAAAAAUCUUGAAAAAGCCGAAAGGAACGACGUGGCCUGUACUUCGGAGGAGGGACAGGUUAUACAGGCGUAUACCCCCUUGGAGCCUCACAAUAAACCUCAAAAAUCUGCAAAAAGACCUCUCAAAAAACGGCCCACUAGACGUACACUUCUUGUGGAAAGUGAAUCUUCCGAGGACGAC